This 242-nucleotide long non-coding RNA is filed under the name Elaeis guineensis (African oil palm). RNAcentral describes it as "long non-coding RNA (EGUI_LNC059810)". The record is from RNAcentral. Lineage: Eukaryota; Viridiplantae; Streptophyta; Magnoliopsida; Arecales; Arecaceae.
GAUAGUUCAUGCAUGGAUUUUAAAAUUUUUUUAUGCAGUGGAAGCAAUUAAGAUUAAACUAUUUAAUCUACCAUACACUAGAUCUAAUCUACAACUGCCUAAGCAUAGAUCUUAUGACACAAAACAUGCAUGCAUAAUCUGAAAAUACAUCUGAAAUAUUAGAUCUAAUCUAAUUAUGAUAGAGAUCAGAUAUCUAUACCUGAGCAUGAAGAUUGAGGGAUUAUAUGUUGCUCCAGCCGCAC